This 484-nucleotide ribosomal RNA is filed under the name uncultured bacterium. RNAcentral describes it as "partial 16S ribosomal RNA". It matches the Rfam family "Bacterial small subunit ribosomal RNA", at positions 30 to 507 of the family's 1533-position model. The record is from RNAcentral.
AUUGAACGCCGGCGGCAGGCCUAACACAUGCAAGUCAAGCGGAUGAAGGGAGCUUGCUCCUGGAUUCAGCGGCGGACGGGUGAGUAAUGCCUAGGAAUCUGCCUGGUAGUGGGGGAUAACGUCCGGAAACGGGCGCUAAUACCGCAUACGUCCUGAGGGAGAAAGUGGGGGAUCUUCGGACCUCACGCUAUCAGAUGAGCCUAGGUCGGAUUAGCUAGUUGGUGGGGUAAAGGCCUACCAAGGCGACGAUCCGUAACUGGUCUGAGAGGAUGAUCAGUCACACUGGAACUGAGACACGGUCCAGACUCCUACGGGAGGCAGCAGUGGGGAAUAUUGGACAAUGGGCGAAAGCCUGAUCCAGCCAUGCCGCGUGUGUGAAGAAGGUCUUCGGAUUGUAAAGCACUUUAAGUUGGGAGGAAGGGCAGUAAGUUAAUACCUUGCUGUUUUGACGUUACCAACAGAAUAAGCACCGGCUAACUUCGUG